This 468-nucleotide ribosomal RNA is filed under the name uncultured bacterium. RNAcentral describes it as "partial 16S ribosomal RNA". It matches the Rfam family "Bacterial small subunit ribosomal RNA", at positions 28 to 507 of the family's 1533-position model. The record is from RNAcentral.
GACGAACGCUGGCGGCGUGCUUAACACAUGCAAGUCGAACGGAAAGGCCCUGCUUUUGUGGGUUGCUCGAGUGGCGAACGGGUGAGUAACACGUGAGUAACCUGCCCUUGACUUUGGGAUAACUUCAGGAAACUGGGGCUAAUACCGGAUAGGAGCUCCUGCUGCAUGGUGGGGGUUGGAAAGUUUCGGCGGUUGGGGAUGGACUCGCGGCUUAUCAGCUUGUUGGUGGGGUAGUGGCUUACCAAGGCUUUGACGGGUAGCCGGCCUGAGAGGGUGACCGGCCACAUUGGGACUGAGAUACGGACCAGACUCCUACGGGAGGCAGCAGUGGGGAAUAUUGCACAAUGGGCGGAAGCCUGAUGCAGCAACGCCGCGUGCGGGAUGACGGCCUUCGGGUUGUAAACCGCUUUCGCCUGUGACGAGGCGUGAGUGACGGUAAUGGGUAAAGAAGCACCGGCUAACUACGUG